GUCCAGCUGACGAGUCCCAUAUAAGACGGAACACGCGUCCUGUAU
Molecule: non-coding RNA, 45 nt
Organism: Schistosoma margrebowiei
Lineage: Eukaryota; Metazoa; Platyhelminthes; Trematoda; Strigeidida; Schistosomatidae
Source: Rfam